Molecule: ribosomal RNA, 497 nt
Filed under: uncultured bacterium
Lineage: Bacteria
Description: partial 16S ribosomal RNA
Rfam family: Bacterial small subunit ribosomal RNA
Source: RNAcentral
GAUGAACGCUGGCGGCGUGCCUAAUACAUGCAAGUCGAGCGAACAGAUGAGGAGCUUGCUCCUCUGACGUUAGCGGCGGACGGGUGAGUAACACGUGGAUAACCUACCUAUAAGCCUGGGAUAACUUCGGGAAACCGGAGCUAAUACAGGAUAAUAAAUUGAAACGAAUGGUUUAAUAGUGAAAGAAGGAUUUGCUGUCACUUAUAAAUGGAUCCGCGCCGCAUUAGCUAGUUGGUAAGGUAACGGCUUACCAAGGCAACGAUGAGUAGCCGACCUGGGAGGUUGAUCGGCCACACUGGAACGGAGACACGUUCCAGACCCCUACGGGAGGCAGCAGGAGGGAAUCUUCCGCAAUGGGCGAAAGCCUGACGGAGCAACGCCGCGUGAGUGAUGAAGGUCUUCGGAUCUAAAAACUCUGUUAUUAGGGAAGAACAAAUGUGUAAGUAACUAUGCACGUCUUGACGGUACCUAAUCAGAAAGCCACGGCUAACUACGUG